GACGAACGCUGGCGGCGUGCCUAACACAUGCAAGUCGAGCGAUUCUCUUCGGAGAAGAGCGGCGGACGGGUGAGUAACGCGUGGGUAACCUGCCCUGUACACACGGAUAACAUACCGAAAGGUAUGCUAAUACGGGAUAAUAUGCUUUAGUCGCAUGGCUGAAGUAUCAAAGCUCCGGCGGUACAGGAUGGACCCGCGUCUGAUUAGCUAGUUGGUAAGGUAACGGCUUAUCAAGGCGACGAUCAGUAGCCGACCUGAGAGGGUGAUCGGCCACCUUGGAACUGAGACACGGUCCAAACUCCUACGGGAGGCAGCAGUGGGUAAUAUUGCACAAUGGGCGAAAGCCUGAUGCAGCAACGCCGCGUGAGCGAUGAAGGCCUUCGGGUCGUAAAGCUCUGUCCUCAAGGAAGAUAAUGACGGUACUUGAGGAGGAAGCCCCGGCUAACUACGUGCCAGCCGCCGCGGUAA
Molecule: ribosomal RNA, 468 nt
Filed under: uncultured bacterium
Lineage: Bacteria
Description: partial 16S ribosomal RNA
Rfam family: Bacterial small subunit ribosomal RNA
Source: RNAcentral